GCUCCGGUAGUGUAGUCCGGUCAAGCAUCAUUCCCUCUCAAGGAAUAGACCCGGGUUCGAAUCCCGGCCGGAGCA
Molecule: transfer RNA, 75 nt
Filed under: Microcaldota archaeon
Lineage: Archaea; Nanobdellati; Microcaldota
Description: tRNA-Glu
Rfam family: tRNA
About the family: Transfer RNA (tRNA) molecules are approximately 80 nucleotides in length.
Source: RNAcentral